Molecule: non-coding RNA, 85 nt
Organism: Felis catus (domestic cat)
Lineage: Eukaryota; Metazoa; Chordata; Mammalia; Carnivora; Felidae
Source: Rfam
GCCUGGGUGGCUUAGUCGGUUGAGCGGCUGACUUUGGCUCAGGUCAUGAUCUUGCAGUCCGUGAGUUCGAGCCCCGCGUCGGGCU